GAUGAACGCUGGCGGCGUGCCUAAUACAUGCAAGUCGAGCGAACAGACGAGGAGCUUGCUCCUUCGACGUUAGCGGCGGACGGGUGAGUAACACGUAGGUAACCUACCUAUAAGACUGGGAUAACUUCGGGAAACCGGAGCUAAUACCGGAUAAUAUUUCGAACCGCAUUGUUCGAUAGUGAAAGAUGGCUUUGCUAUCACUUAUAGAUGGACCUGCGCCGUAUUAGCUAGUUGGUAAGGUAACGGCUUACCAAGGCAACGAUACGUAGCCGACCUGAGAGGGUGAUCGGCCACACUGGAACUGAGACACGGUCCAGACUCCUACGGGAGGCAGCAGUAGGGAAUCUUCCGCAAAGGGCGAAAGCCUGACGGAGCAACGCCGCGUGAGUGAUGAAGGUCUUCGGAUCGUAAAACUCUGUUAUUAGGGAAGAACAAACGUGUAAGUAACUGUGCACGUCUUGACGGUACCUAAUCAGAAAGCCACGGCUAACUACGUG
Molecule: ribosomal RNA, 497 nt
Filed under: uncultured bacterium
Lineage: Bacteria
Description: partial 16S ribosomal RNA
Rfam family: Bacterial small subunit ribosomal RNA
Source: RNAcentral